GCCCGUCUAGCUCAGUCGGUAGAGCGCAAGGCUCUUAACCUUGUGGUCGUGGGUUCGACCCCCACGGUGGGGG
Molecule: transfer RNA, 73 nt
Filed under: Naegleria gruberi
Lineage: Eukaryota; Heterolobosea; Eutetramitea; Acrasida; Naegleriidae
Description: tRNA-Lys (CTT) (tRNA-Lys-CTT-5-1)
Rfam family: tRNA
About the family: Transfer RNA (tRNA) molecules are approximately 80 nucleotides in length. Their secondary structure includes four short double-helical elements and three loops (D, anti-codon, and T loops).
Source: Rfam by way of RNAcentral